UCUAUGAACAGUCAUGAAGGUGUCCCUAUA
Molecule: non-coding RNA, 30 nt
Filed under: Rattus norvegicus (Norway rat)
Lineage: Eukaryota; Metazoa; Chordata; Mammalia; Rodentia; Muridae
Source: RNAcentral